This 452-nucleotide ribosomal RNA is filed under the name uncultured bacterium. RNAcentral's name for it is "bacterial SSU rRNA". It matches the Rfam family "Bacterial small subunit ribosomal RNA", at positions 32 to 493 of the family's 1533-position model. The record is from RNAcentral.
AAUCAACGCUGGCGGCGUGCCUCAGACAUGCAAGUCGAACGCGAAAGUUCCCUUCGGGGAGCGAGUAGAGUGGCGCACGGGUGAGUAACACGUAGGUAAUCUACCCUCGAGUGGGGAAUAACUCAGGGAAACUUGAGCUAAUACCGCAUAAUGCAGCGGCACCACAUGGUGACAGUUGUUAAAGCAUUUAUGCGCUUGGGGAGGAGCCUGCGGCAGAUUAGCUAGUUGGUAAGGUAAUGGCUUACCAAGGCAACGAUCUGUAACCGGCCUGAGAGGGCGGACGGUCACACUGACACUGAAUAACGGGUCAGACUCCUACGGGAGGCAGCAGUCGGGAAUUUUGGGCAAUGGGCGAAAGCCUGACCCAGCAACGCCGCGUGAAGGAUGAAAUCUUUCGGGAUGUAAACUUCGGAAGAAUAGGAAGAAAAAAUAGACGGUACUAUUUUAAGGUU